Molecule: ribosomal RNA, 218 nt
Filed under: uncultured prokaryote
Description: partial 16S ribosomal RNA
Rfam family: Bacterial small subunit ribosomal RNA
Source: RNAcentral
CCCUACGGGGUGCAGCAGGCGGAAUGAUAAGUCAGUGGUGAAAUCCUACGGCUCAACUGUAGAACUGCCAUUGAUACUGUUGUUCUUGAGUACACUUGGAGUGGGCGGAAUGUGUCAUGUAGCGGUGAAAUGCUUAGAUAUGACACAGAACACCGAUCGCGACGGCAGCUCACUAAAUUGUAACUGACGCUCAUGCACGAAAGCGUGGGGAUCAAACA